This 700-nucleotide ribosomal RNA is filed under the name Staphylococcus sp. RNAcentral describes it as "bacterial SSU rRNA". It matches the Rfam family "Bacterial small subunit ribosomal RNA", at positions 89 to 776 of the family's 1533-position model. The record is from RNAcentral. Lineage: Bacteria; Bacillati; Bacillota; Bacilli; Caryophanales; Staphylococcaceae.
ACGUUAGCGGCGGACGGGUGAGUAACACGUGGAUAACCUACCUAUAAGACUGGGAUAACUUCGGGAAACCGGAGCUAAUACCGGAUAAUAUAUUGAACCGCAUGGUUCAAUAGUGAAAGACGGUUUUGCUGUCACUUAUAGAUGGAUCCGCGCCGCAUUAGCUAGUUGGUAAGGUAACGGCUUACCAAGGCAACGAUGCGUAGCCGACCUGAGAGGGUGAUCGGCCACACUGGAACUGAGACACGGUCCAGACUCCUACGGGAGGCAGCAGUAGGGAAUCUUCCGCAAUGGGCGAAAGCCUGACGGAGCAACGCCGCGUGAGUGAUGAAGGUCUUCGGAUCGUAAAACUCUGUUAUUAGGGAAGAACAAAUGUGUAAGUAACUAUGCACGUCUUGACGGUACCUAAUCAGAAAGCCACGGCUAACUACGUGCCAGCAGCCGCGGUAAUACGUAGGUGGCAAGCGUUAUCCGGAAUUAUUGGGCGUAAAGCGCGCGUAGGCGGUUUUUUAAGUCUGAUGUGAAAGCCCACGGCUCAACCGUGGAGGGUCAUUGGAAACUGGAAAACUUGAGUGCAGAAGAGGAAAGUGGAAUUCCAUGUGUAGCGGUGAAAUGCGCAGAGAUAUGGAGGAACACCAGUGGCGAAGGCGACUUUCUGGUCUGUAACUGACGCUGAUGUGCGAAAGCGUGGGGAUCAAACAGG